AGUAAGAUGACUGAAGAUGAUAGGUGAUAAAUUGUAAAUUUAUUUAUGAAUAUAAAUUCUCUUGCUA
Molecule: transfer RNA, 67 nt
Filed under: Pselaphinae sp. 3 EF-2015
Lineage: Eukaryota; Metazoa; Arthropoda; Insecta; Coleoptera; Staphylinidae
Description: tRNA-Tyr
Source: RNAcentral